Molecule: ribosomal RNA, 351 nt
Filed under: uncultured bacterium
Lineage: Bacteria
Description: partial 16S ribosomal RNA
Rfam family: Bacterial small subunit ribosomal RNA
Source: RNAcentral
CCUACGGGUGGCAGCAGUGGGGGAUAUUGCACAAUGGGGGGAACCCUGAUGCAGCGACGCCGCGUGGGUGAAGAAGCGCCUCGGCGCGUAAAGCCCUGUCAGCAGGGAAGAAAAUGACGGUAUCUGAAGAAGAAGCCCCGGCUAACUACGUGCCAGCAGCCGCGGAAAUACGUGGGGGGCAAGCGUUAUCCGGAUUUACGGGGUGUAAAGGGGGCGCAGACGGGGAUGCAAGCCAGGAGUGAAAGCCCGGGGCCCAACCCCGGGACUGUUCGUGGAACUGCGUGGCGGGGGUGCAGGAGGGGCAGGGGGAAUUCCGGGUGUAGCGGUGAAAUGCGUAGAUAUCAGGGGGAA